This 93-nucleotide transfer RNA is filed under the name Streptomyces amakusaensis. RNAcentral's name for it is "tRNA-Pro". Lineage: Bacteria; Bacillati; Actinomycetota; Actinomycetes; Kitasatosporales; Streptomycetaceae. RNAcentral also lists the same sequence under 1 other name. The record is from RNAcentral.
UCCGCCGCUGACGCGUGGUGAGUCCGUCGUCCGGAACGACGGACGGCUGUCCCUGUGGCAUUUACGCGGCCUUUCUGUCGGACCCGGCGGACC